UUUUUUUUUUUUUUUUUUUUUUUACAGAAACACACUGAGAGUUAACAAUAUUUUAACCACACUCUAGCAUCCAGACUAUUAUGCUUUGGAAAGGCCUGAUGUAAGAGAUACUGGAAUACCUCGAAGACUGCCUGUGCUGCUCAGAGGCCAAGCCCUGUAAUCGAUGUGCCUGUUAAGAAAGUGACAUUCAAAGGACAGUCACUUCUUGGUGAGCCAGGGUGAACAUCGCAGGCUUUAUUUAUCUCCUCUACCCCAAAUAAAAUUUGAGUCUACACCUGUGAAACAGGACACUUUUUAAAAGAAUAUUUGUUUGAAACAAGGAGUCAAGAGAAAAUUACUGGACAGGCAAGGGAAAGCUGCAUGGCUCCAGGCAAUUCCUCCAUUCAGCCAUUCUGCUGAUCUCCACACAUGGCUAUUUCUGAGGAAAAAGCCUCUCAGGUCAGGAAGGUGGGCCACCACAAAUUCUACGGUAUGGCAGAAGACAGACAGGGCUCACUGGUGAAAGGGAUGACAUUCUCACUGCUGGAUGUUCAUCUUACUAAGUAGGCUGGCAAAAUUUCUUCCCCUCCAACAGAACUAAGGUGUAGCCCAGCUAAGGAGACUGACAGCAACACAGAUCAAUUGUUUACAGUGAUAUCCCUUAUACUAAUGAUGCAUCCAUGUCUGACAGCCUUAAAUUCCUUACCGACCAAAAAACAGAAGACAAGGUAAAGAAACAUUUUUGGCGUUACUGUGACAAGCACUUAACAAGCAGCUGGAAGCAUAAUUACAAUCCCAAACUGGAAAGUUUAUUAACAAAACCUGAAUUAUUGUCAGCAGAAGGCUGGUUAAAUCAUGGCUUUUCCUGCUACUGCUUCACUUAACCUCCGGGAACCCAGUCCUAACCAUACUUUCUGGGAAAUAUCUAUAUGCUCUGGAUUGGACAAGCUCACAUAAUGAGGCUGGAUGUAGUCAUUAACAUGAUGUACGCACUUUAUACUUCAUAUCUGAUAUUUAAGAAGACAAAGGUCCAUUGCAGUAAGUCCCGCCUCCACGCCAUACUCCAGCCAGAUCCCAAAAGGGGACGUUAUCAUCAAAGAAAAGUGUAUGAAGAAGAAAACCAUAAGAUGUCAAUAAAUAUUUACAAUCACAAACGCAUAAUAAAGUAAUAACAAAUUCUUAGAAAUCUAAUUGCGAAGGAAUAAGCAUUUAGUAAAUCUCAAUUUGGGAAACAGCAGGUCAUUUUAUUAAAAUCCAGAGAGAGAAUGUAUACCCCCAAAGUAUUAAACCCAUUGGAGAGCAAUUAAAGCAAACGGAAUACACUGAAACAUUAAUGUGGAUUUUUAACAAAUCCUGGAAUACUCUACAAGAUCAAGAGAAUCACGAAAACUUAAUGCGGCGCUAGUGUUCAUGAAGAUCAAACCUGAGAAACUACAGUCAGGCUGACAUCAAGCCAGUAUAAAUUCUGGAAAGGGUGAGUAGUAAAUAAUUAAGAAAUGAUAGCAUAAUUCAUUCAUUUGUAAGUCUUGUCAACUAAACUUGAUACCAUUUUUUAUGCUAUAACAAGUUUGGCUAAUAACAUUAACUUGUAUUGUCAUAGAACACUUAGAUUGCUAUAAGAUUUAAUCUUGCAUGACAUUUUCAAGCACCAUACAAAAUCAAUAUUCUACAUUACAUGGAUUAAAAUUGUUUAAAUACACAGAUCUUGAAAACUGUAAGUGGAAAAUUGUCAGACAAUGUAGGUUCUCUGAAGAACUUUUAUUGUCCCAAAUUUAUUACUUUCAUUGCAAAUCAGAGAUUCUUUUUUUUUUUUUUUUUUUUUUUUUUAGAUGACCCCAGCCUUGAUACAAUGGGAAAUAUCAAUCAAACGGAUGGGCACAUCUUCCACAGUAUAACUCAUCUGAGCACACACAGCUAAAAUGUACCUCACCAACAAAAAUGCUAAAGCUAUAAUUUAGUUCAUUUAUGGAACAAAGGGUUAAGAGAGAACUUGCAAGUGCAAGUACGUAUAAAGCAAGAAGAGCAGUCAGCAGUUUCAUUUAGUGGAAAAGAGAGCAUUUUGGAAUCCAGCAGUUGAAAGCUAUUAUCUUGACUGAAUGUGUUCAUGUAAAAGUCACAUUUCUUUAUUUCUAUAUGAUGAAAAUAAAUAAUCUAUUACCACCAACUGAUGUCAGAUAUGGUAGAUUAUCUAUUUUUCAAAUCUUUAUAAGAAGGUUUUUUAUCUUUCUAAAAGAGAUGUCACUUUUCAAGUGAAGUUACAGUCUCAAGGGAUACACAAAAUCUUUAAGGAUGUUCUGAGACUUUGUGCAGUGACCACAAGUAAGUUUGUAGGACCAAGUUGCUUGACUUAGAAUCAUAGAAUCAUCUAGGUUUGAAAAGACCUCUAAGAUCAAGACCAACCAACAACCUAGCAAUACCAAGCCUACCACUAAACCAUUUCUCUAAACACUCCAUCUACACAUCUUUGGAAUACCUGCAGGAAUGGUGACUCAACUACUUCCCUGGGCAGCCUGUUCCAAUGACUCAUAACCCUUUCAGUGAAGAAAUUUUUCUUAGUAUCCAAUGUAAAUUUCCACUGGUGCAACUUCAGGCC
Oxyura jamaicensis (ruddy duck) is the source of this 2572-nucleotide long non-coding RNA. RefSeq lists it as uncharacterized. The transcript is spliced from 3 exons. Lineage: Eukaryota; Metazoa; Chordata; Aves; Anseriformes; Anatidae. The record is from RefSeq and is a predicted model, not a curated record.